Mercenaria mercenaria is the source of this 494-nucleotide long non-coding RNA. RefSeq lists it as uncharacterized. Lineage: Eukaryota; Metazoa; Mollusca; Bivalvia; Venerida; Veneridae. The record is from RefSeq and is a predicted model, not a curated record. The transcript has 3 exons.
GUUCAGAGGAAGCGGACGUCUGGCCAAGGCGGAGGUGACAGUGUCCAGGAGCAAGCUGGGGUGCCAUCUGAUUUAACAGUUGGAGCUCCAUUGAAUUUGUCUUCACCAGUGAAAGUAAAGACACACAAUGUAUGGAUAAUUGGUGACUCACUCAUCAGAGGAGCACAACAGGCAGCUUAUUUACGUCCCGAUGAAGAUUUGGGCCUAGGAUAUCACCCAUCGUCGUGGCUGGAGAUAGCUGAAACAUUUGAGUUUGCAACCAGAUGCCUUGAAUCCCAAUGACGAGCAAAGCACAAAUACAAAUAGACUUUUUAAACAUUUGUCGCCGUUGUCGGGACAAAAAAAUUGUGAUUCAGCGUUUUUUAAUAUCAUAAAACUCUUGCGUUCGUUGACGGGGCAAGAAACUACGUCGAUUCAUAUUGACACUAGUAAUCUUAAUCCAGCCAUGACAAUUUUGUGCCAAUCCUUAAUAAAAUAAAAAUAUAUAAAACAUU